AGUGAACGCUGGCGGUAGGCCUAACACAUGCAAGUCGAACGGCAGCACAGUAAGAGCUUGCUCUUACGGGUGGCGAGUGGCGGACGGGUGAGGAAUACAUCGGAAUCUACUUUUCGUGGGGGAUAACGUAGGGAAACUUACGCUAAUACCGCAUACGACCUACGGGCGAAAGCAGGGGAUCUUCGGACCUUGCGCGAUUGAAUGAGCCGAUGUCGGAUUAGCUAGUUGGCGGGGUAAAGGCCCACCAAGGCGACGAUCCGUAGCUGGUCUGAGAGGAUGAUCAGCCACACUGGAACUGAGACACGGUCCAGACUCCUACGGGAGGCAGCAGUGGGGAAUAUUGGACAAUGGGCGCAAGCCUGAUCCAGCCAUACCGCGUGGGUGAAGAAGGCCUUCGGGUUGUAAAGCCCUUUGUUGGGAAAGAAAAGCAGCAGGUUAAUACCCCGCUGUUCUGACGGUACCCAAAGAAUAAGCACCGGCUAACUUCGUG
This 490-nucleotide ribosomal RNA is filed under the name uncultured bacterium. RNAcentral's name for it is "partial 16S ribosomal RNA". It matches the Rfam family "Bacterial small subunit ribosomal RNA", at positions 29 to 507 of the family's 1533-position model. The record is from RNAcentral.